AGCAGCCGCGGUAAUUCCAGCUCCAAUAGCGUAUAUUAAAGUUGUUGCAGUUAAAAGCUCGUAGUUGAAUUUCGGGAUCAGUUGAUCGGUCGUGCCUCGGUACGUACUGGUCAAAUUGAUUCCUACCUUCUGACGAACCACGAUGUCAUUAAUUUGGUGUCGCGGGAAAUCAGGACUGUUACUUUGAAAAAAUUAGAGUGUUUAAAGCAGGCUCGCGCUUGAAUACAUUAGCAUGGAAUAAUGAAAUAGGACGUUUGAUUCUAUUUUGUUGGUUUCUAGGAUCGACGUAAUGAUUAAUAGGGAUAGUUGGGGGGCAUUAGUAUUCAAUUGUCAGAGGUGAAAUUCUUGGAUUUAUUGAAGACUAACUACUGCGAAAGCAUUUGCCAAGGAUGUUUUCAUUAAUCAAGAACGAAAGUUAGGGAUCGAAGACGAUCAGAUACCGUCAUAGUCUUAACCAUAAACUAUGCCGACUAGGGAUCGGAUGAUGUUAAUUUUUAAUGACUUCAUUCGGCCG
RNAcentral lists this unclassified non-coding RNA (514 nucleotides) under uncultured Glomus. RNAcentral's name for it is "SSU rRNA". It matches the Rfam family "Eukaryotic small subunit ribosomal RNA", at positions 569 to 1086 of the family's 1831-position model. The record is from RNAcentral. Lineage: Eukaryota; Fungi; Glomeromycota; Glomeromycetes; Glomerales; Glomeraceae.